Molecule: small nuclear RNA, 57 nt
Organism: Callithrix jacchus (white-tufted-ear marmoset)
Lineage: Eukaryota; Metazoa; Chordata; Mammalia; Primates; Cebidae
Gene: U7
Rfam family: U7 small nuclear RNA
About the family: Animal histone pre-mRNAs are spliced by a different mechanism than nuclear pre-mRNAs and self-splicing introns. This processing involves the U7 snRNP, which contains only one RNA species: U7. The 5' end of U7 RNA is thought to base-pair to a conserved spacer element downstream of the cleavage site in histone pre-mRNA.
Source: Ensembl
CAGGGUUUUUUUUAGAAUUUUUCUAGCUGGCUUUCUGGUUUUCACUGGAAAACCCAU